GACUGUAGUGUUGCAGAUUAAUCCUUAGGUCGCUGGUUCGAAUCCGGCAGGUCGGAUUUCUUUU
RNAcentral lists this small RNA (64 nucleotides) under Oryza sativa Japonica Group (Japanese rice). Its description in RNAcentral is "sRNA Os04g0618301". The record is from RNAcentral. Lineage: Eukaryota; Viridiplantae; Streptophyta; Magnoliopsida; Poales; Poaceae.